AUUGAACGCUGGCGGCAGGCCUAACACAUGCAAGUCGAGCGGUAGAGAGGUGCUUGCAUCUCUUGAGAGCGGCGGACGGGUGAGUAAUGCCUAGGAAUCUGCCUAGUGGUGGGGGAUAACGUUCGGAAACGGACGCUAAUACCGCAUACGUCCUACGGGAGAAAGCGGGGGAGUCUUCGGACCUCGCGCCAUUAGAUGAGCCUAGGUCGGAUUAGCUAGUUGGUGAGGUAAUGGCUCACCAAGGCGACGAUCCGUAACUGGUCUGAGAGGAUGAUCAGUCACACUGGAACUGAGACACGGUCCAGACUCCUACGGGAGGCAGCAGUGGGGAAUAUUGGACAAUGGGCGAAAGCCUGAUCCAGCCAUGCCGCGUGUGUGAAGAAGGUCUUCGGAUUGUAAAGCACCUUUAAGUUUAGGGAGGAAGGGUAGGUAACCUAAUACGUUGCUACUUUGUACGUUACCG
Molecule: ribosomal RNA, 463 nt
Filed under: uncultured bacterium
Lineage: Bacteria
Description: bacterial SSU rRNA
Rfam family: Bacterial small subunit ribosomal RNA
Source: RNAcentral